This 415-nucleotide long non-coding RNA is filed under the name Struthio camelus australis. RNAcentral describes it as "lncRNA (ENSSCUG00000009998.1)". The record is from RNAcentral. Lineage: Eukaryota; Metazoa; Chordata; Aves; Struthioniformes; Struthionidae.
AAAUACGUUAUUCUACCUCUGGAAGCAACAUUUCAAGCAACAGGACAGGGGAUAGAGCCUGAAUGGACCUCACUUUCUCUGGAAACCCCUCCAGAAGCAGACUUUCCCAAGCAGAGCACAGUGGAGGAGCUGCAGUCCUCCAGCACUGGACCCCUCCAACCACCACAGCUUGAGAGAAGGGCACAGGUCCGCCACAGUUUGUUAGAGUGGAGCCCAGGCGCGGAGCGACUAAUGAGCAUGCUGGAGAGAGUGUCCAACCCAACGCCAGCUAGAGACAAUCCACCUGUCUGCUCUCAGACGCAGGCAAUGCAAAAUGGAUGAGGCUGGGACUGAGAUCUGCUCUCCGGUUGGAUACAGCUUAGAGAAUACAAUAAGGGUCAGUGGAAAUAAACUGGGUACACAAAGAAAAGGCUCA